CCAGAGAACUUAGCAGAGAUGCUUUGGUGCCUUCGGGAACUCUGAGACAGGUGCUGCAUGGCUGUCGUCAGCUCGUGUUGUGAAAUGGUUGGGUUAAGUCCCGCAACGAGCGCAACCCUUAUCCUUUGUUGCCAGCGGCUCGGCCGGGAACUCAAAGGAGACUGCCGGUGAUAAACCGGAGGAAGGUGGGGAUGACGUCAAGUCAUCAUGGCCCUUACGGCCAGGGCUACACACGUGCUACAAUGGCGCAUACAAAGAGAAGCGACCUCGCGAGAGCAAGCGGACCUCACAAAGUGCGUCGUAGUCCGGAUUGGAGUCUGCAACUCGACUCCAUGAAGUCGGAAUCGCUAGUAAUCGUAGAUCAGAAUGCUACGGUGAAUACGUUCCCGGGCCUUGUACACACCGCCCGUCACACCAUGGGAGUGGGUUGCAAAAGAAGUAGGUAGCUUAACCUUCGGGAGGGCGCUUACCACUUUGUGAUUCAUGACUGGGGUGAAGUCGUAACAAGGUAAGCGUAGCGAG
Molecule: ribosomal RNA, 522 nt
Filed under: uncultured bacterium
Lineage: Bacteria
Description: bacterial SSU rRNA
Rfam family: Bacterial small subunit ribosomal RNA
Source: RNAcentral